GACGAACGCUGGCGGCGUGCUUAACACAUGCAAGUCGAACGAUGAAAGCGGGAGCUUGCUCCUGCUGGAUUAGUGGCGAACGGGUGAGUAACACGUGAGCAAUCUGCCCCGAACUCUGGGAUAAGCGUUGGAAACGACGUCUAAUACCGGAUACGACGCGCGAAGGCAUCUUCUGCGCGUGGAAAGAAUUUCGGUUCGGGAUGAGCUCGCGGCCUAUCAGCUAGUUGGUGAGGUAAUGGCUCACCAAGGCGACGACGGGUAGCCGGCCUGAGAGGGUGACCGGCCACACUGGGACUGAGACACGGCCCAGACUCCUACGGGAGGCAGCAGUGGGGAAUAUUGCACAAUGGGCGCAAGCCUGAUGCAGCAACGCCGCGUGAGGGACGACGGCCUUCGGGUGUAAACCUCUUUAGUAGGUAAGAAGCGAAAGUGACGGUACCUGCAGAAAAGACACCGGCUAACUACGUAGCCAGCAGCCGCGGU
RNAcentral lists this ribosomal RNA (483 nucleotides) under uncultured bacterium. RNAcentral describes it as "bacterial SSU rRNA". It matches the Rfam family "Bacterial small subunit ribosomal RNA", at positions 28 to 521 of the family's 1533-position model. The record is from RNAcentral.